GAUGAACGCUAGCUACAGGCUUAACACAUGCAAGACGAGGGGUAACAAGAGGAAAGCUUGCUUUUCUUGUUGACGACCGGCGCACGGGUGAGUAACGCGUAUCCAACCUGCCUAUAACUAGGGAAUAACCUUGCGAAAGUAAGACUAAUACCCUAUGAUUUCCUUUGAUGACAUCAGAUUAGGAAUAAAGAUUUAUCGGUUAUAGAUGGGGAUGCGUCUGAUUAGCUUGUGGGCGGGGUAACGGCCCACCAAGGCAACGAUCAGUAGGGGUUCUGAGAGGAAGGUCCCCCACAUUGGAACUGAGACACGGUCCAAACUCCGACGGGAGGCAGCAGUGAGGAAUAUUGGUCAAUGGGCGGAAGCCUGAACCAGCCAAGUAGCGUGCAGGAUGACGGCCCUAUGGGUUGUAAACUGCUUUUAUACAGGAAUAAAGUUAGCCACGUGUGGUUAUUUGUAGGUACUGUAUGAAUAAGGACCGGCUAAUUCCGUGCCAGCCGCCGCCGUAA
RNAcentral lists this ribosomal RNA (506 nucleotides) under uncultured bacterium. RNAcentral's name for it is "partial 16S ribosomal RNA". It matches the Rfam family "Bacterial small subunit ribosomal RNA", at positions 28 to 523 of the family's 1533-position model. The record is from RNAcentral.